Harmonia axyridis is the source of this 960-nucleotide long non-coding RNA. RefSeq lists it as uncharacterized. The transcript is spliced from 4 exons. Lineage: Eukaryota; Metazoa; Arthropoda; Insecta; Coleoptera; Coccinellidae. The record is from RefSeq and is a predicted model, not a curated record.
AAAGCCAGCCCUGACUAUAUCCUUCAAUGUCAGCCGUACAUCCUGUUCCUGCGUUCCUUAUAUUUUGGUAAGGUGGAAUCCGAAAAUCCAGGAGAUUCGAAGACCUGAAUUCCAUCCGACCGCAUACGAAAGAGAACUGAAUAAUGUAGAAAGGAGGGGUUGAUAUUUCUAAUUGAAUUUUUUCAUGCCGACAUGGGUUUUUGCGGUUCAGUUGUUGUGGAGUAGAUUUAGCCCUAUCAUGGUUAUAUUUUCAACAUGUGCUAAUAGAUAUGACAGAUGGAGUGGAAUCAAAACAUCUUUUGGGGGCCAACGCUACAAAAUUACGAACCAACCGAUGACAGAUUGUGGAUAAGAAUGCAGAAUGAAAAACUCCGGUUUAUGAGUCCCGGACUAAAAAGGACGAACAUAUGGAAGUUUCCGGACAAGGACGCACGUACCUGCGACCCUCCACUAAUGAAUUGAAAGUCUAUUUCAACAAUGGCAACAAUGUCAAUAGACACACAUGUACGAGGGGGAGGAGUGGGAGGACACAGGAUACAAUCCCCGUCUUGAUUGGGUUAGCCCCUUUGAUUCUCCCUGCGAAAACACACAUGCACACGUCUUUCAAGUUGACUCAAAACUCGCCCUAGCAAAGACAAGAAUUUACAAUUUGCAGGGAAGGUCGCCUUUGGGAGAGCAAACAUCAGGAAAUUGUCUCGGAUUUCCUAUUGAAAGUCCACUAGAUGAGAUUGAUUGGUUCCGUAUGAAAAUUCCUGAUUGGCAACAUCGAUUAUUGAUCUCGGAAUUAAUUAUCUAAUGGACGAUAAGUUCUGUUGGUUUGGACUAGGUUGGAAACCACUGCAGGACAACAUUCAGAAGCUUGAGGUACGAGUUAUACCCCUCUAACUAAGAGUUGAACAUCCAUGAACUUCUUGAAACUCAAUUAAUGACUACCCUAAGGAUUUGGAAUCAAGGAACAGG